Hemicordylus capensis (graceful crag lizard) is the source of this 708-nucleotide long non-coding RNA. RefSeq lists it as uncharacterized. NCBI's taxonomy places the organism in Eukaryota, Metazoa, Chordata, Lepidosauria, Squamata, Cordylidae. The transcript is spliced from 2 exons. The record is from RefSeq and is a predicted model, not a curated record.
UCUCUUGAAGAAAACCUUAUAGCAUUUAAGAGCCCAGGAGAGGCAAUUCUAUGGCUUUCUGGAAAUGGUUGUUUCUUUAAGAUCAGGGGAAAGGAACAUGAGCCCAGCUGGCUAAUUAGUUUUACCCCACAUGUGACAGUUUGGGUUUUUAACUCCUAGGUUGAGUCUGACUCAUGAAGGAUUAUAGCAUGUUUUUGCAGGCACUUUUGUGCUGCUCCUAUGACAAGGCUUUUCCUCAAAAAAGGAAUAAAAAUGAACUGAACUGAUCGUCCCAUCCAUGGCAGGAAGAGGUGAUGGUUGCAAAGGUUGCAGGAGCAGCAGUAAAACCAGCCCAGUGCAAGCAGAAUAGAUUUCCCCAGGACUGGCAGCAAAGCCAUCAUCCAUAGCAAAGUCCUUCCCAAUAUACUGGCAAUGUUUCAAGUGUGCACAGAACCUACCUGGUUAAACCUGCUGGGCCACACAAUGGCACCCUCGGAAAUGGUGAAUGUUCUGCCUGGGGAAGCAUCUGGUUCUAUCCUUCCAACUUUGACUCGAUGAAAAGAUUGAUUUGGAAAUGUGACCCAGUUGAUAAUAUCAAAUCCACCUAGUAGCUCUCCAUUUGGGUCAAAAGAAACCAUUUCCCCAACGCUGUUGUUAAAUGAGACACCUCUCAGAAAGUGGUGAAUCUAAACAAACAUUUUAGAUGUCUAUAAAGAUGAAAGCAUAAAA